GUGUCAGCCGCCGCGGUAAUACGUAGGGUGCAAGCAUUAAUCGGAAUUAUUGGGCGUAAAGGGCGCGUAGGCGGAUUUAUAAGUCAGAUGUGAAAUUCCAAGGCUCACCCUUGGAACUGCAUUUGAUACUGUAAAUCUUUGAGGAUUGGCGGAGAAAAUGGAAUUCCACAUGUAGCGGUGAAAUGCGUGGAUAUGUGGAGGAACACCGGUGGCGAAAGCGGUUUUCUAGCUUAUUCCUGACGCUGAGGCGCGAGAGCAAGGGGAGCAAACAGGAUUAGAUACCCUGGUAGUCCUUGCCGUAAACGAUGUAUACUUGAUGUAAUUGGGCUCAACCCUAAUUGUGUCGUAGCUAACGCGAUAAGUAUACCGCCUGAGGAGUACGCUCGCAAGGGUGAA
This 396-nucleotide ribosomal RNA is filed under the name uncultured bacterium. Its description in RNAcentral is "bacterial SSU rRNA". It matches the Rfam family "Bacterial small subunit ribosomal RNA", at positions 505 to 898 of the family's 1533-position model. The record is from RNAcentral.